This 206-nucleotide non-coding RNA is filed under the name Bacteriovorax sp. BSW11_IV. Lineage: Bacteria; Pseudomonadati; Bdellovibrionota; Bacteriovoracia; Bacteriovoracales; Bacteriovoracaceae. RNAcentral also lists the same sequence under 1 other name. The record is from RNAcentral.
UCGCGCCAUAAAGCCAGAGGUGCCGUAAAAAGCUCAAAAGGGAAUUCCGUGUGAAUCGGAAGCUGUCCCGCAGCGGUAUGUGGAACGAAACCCGCAAGACACUGAUCAUUGAGAUUGGGAAGUUGGGGAGUAGGUGGAAAAAAUGAGUAAAGCUUUAAAAGUUUUGAAGUGUGAGACGGCCGAGCCGCCCACGAAUUGCAGGCGCU